ACACACAUGGAUAUGAAACAGGAAGUCGGUAUCCAAUUAACUCUUUGAAGUUUACCUGUAAACGUCAUAACCAGCAUAGCUCUAUCCUUGGCGCUUUUCUCUCUGUCUGUUUUCAAGAAUUUUCUUGACUCACUUAUUUUUGUGAAAGAAGGCCUCAUGUUUACAUGACAAAAUUAGAAGACCUCCAUUUUUAUUUGUAACCACCUUUUCUAGACUCUCGAACGGAGUUAGCUAGUAAGUCUUGGAAUCAUAAUAGUGUAUUGUUUGUUACAUGGACUGAAACUAUUCUCGUGUCAAUGUAAUGAGAAAUGACUGAGAUAAUAGCCAAAAACUAGUUUUUUUAAUAUUAAUUUUGUAACCACCUUUUUGAGACUUCUGCACCAGGUAUGAACAAGUUACUACUUUGAGUGUAUUCAUUAAGGCCUCUUAUAUAGACUGUUUAUGGUUUCAUUUUUCUAGA
RNAcentral lists this long non-coding RNA (460 nucleotides) under Amphimedon queenslandica. Its description in RNAcentral is "uncharacterized LOC109589317". Lineage: Eukaryota; Metazoa; Porifera; Demospongiae; Haplosclerida; Niphatidae. The record is from RNAcentral.